RNAcentral lists this transfer RNA (74 nucleotides) under Candidatus Woesearchaeota archaeon. RNAcentral's name for it is "tRNA-Trp". It matches the Rfam family "tRNA". From Rfam's summary of the family: Transfer RNA (tRNA) molecules are approximately 80 nucleotides in length. Their secondary structure includes four short double-helical elements and three loops (D, anti-codon, and T loops). The record is from RNAcentral. Lineage: Archaea; Nanobdellati; Candidatus Woesearchaeota.
GGGGACAUAGUUUAAUCUGGCUAAAAUCAUCGGCUCCAGACCGAUGGCUCUGGGUUCGAAUCCCAGUGUCCCCA